Molecule: small RNA, 75 nt
Filed under: Variibacter gotjawalensis
Lineage: Bacteria; Pseudomonadati; Pseudomonadota; Alphaproteobacteria; Hyphomicrobiales; Nitrobacteraceae
Description: Makes More Granules Regulator RNA (mmgR)
Rfam family: Makes More Granules Regulator RNA (mmgR)
About the family: SuhB later renamed mmgR (makes more granules regulator) was a putative non-coding RNA found multiple times in the Agrobacterium tumefaciens genome and related alpha-proteobacteria. Other non-coding RNAs uncovered in the same analysis include: speF, ybhL, metA, and serC.
Source: Rfam by way of RNAcentral
UCGUACUGCCCUCCUUGGGCGUUUCCUCCCUAGACUUGGGCCGCUCCACAAGAGCGGCCCCUUUUUUUGCCCUCA